UGAAAACCCAGGGGGGGUGUGUGUGUGGGAAUCAUAUUGUAAAGGGAUAGAAGUGCGUGGUCAUGUCGUCAUCUUCUUUGCAUUUCUUUACCUGCUCAAUUCCCAAUGUGAGAAAGAGAGAGCAGGGUUGGUCUGGUAAAACUUGGGAGUGAGUGAGUGUCUGAAUGAAAGAAAGAGAUAAACCAGAGAGAGAAAGAGAUGGAAUAAUAAUAUAUUUUAUAUAUCAAACACCCUCUUGUUGUACUUAAUUCCUCAAAUCAAAUGUGGCUGAUUUAUGCUUCAUGGAUCCGUUCUUUCCGCUUCUUCAACAGCAUCCUAUAAGUCUUUCGGCUUUUCUUCUUCAAAAAUAAACUCUCUCCAUCUCUUUCAUAUCUAAGAGACUUAACUUCUUCUGCUGCGUUUACUUUCUGUCAUUGUCACUGUUGAUUUUCUCGUUGCUACAGCCUUUCUUUCUUUUUCUUGAAUCUCGUCUCCACAGAAAGCUAUUGAGAAGAGUAGAUUUUAUACUUCUAGAGAUGGGCAAGGAAUGGUAUUGGUUUGCUGGCAAAUCCUCCAAGAGAGGAAGUGGAGGAGGACUAGAUAAAGACAGUGCAACCACUCCUUCUGGUUGUAUGUGCUCUGUCUUUCAGAUAUUUGAUUUCCAUCAGUUCCAGUUUCCUUCGCACCAGCAGCAGCCUUCAUUAAAGCCCGACUCUUUCCUUCCUCAGCCUGAGCCUGAGGCUGAGAUCUCUAUCUCCAAAGGUGCCGAAGCACCAAGGAAUAGCUUGGAAUCAGACGAACCUUCAUCGCCAACGAUUGAAGCAGAAGAUAAAAGUUUAAAUAUCCCAAUGGGUAUUCAAAUUAAAACAAAUAUUGGAGAUGCAAGUUCAAAAGUACAAGGAGCUCCAAAUGAUUCUUCUUCCUCAGAAAUCAGCUCUUCCCCAAGUACCAAGACCCCAAACUUGGUUGCUAGACUCAUGGGUCUUGAUCUUCUUCCUGAUCAAAGCUACUCUCCAACCUCUUCUUCGUCAACUCUUGGGCCACCAAAUCCUCUAGGGAAGUCUCAUUUACAGCACCAUUGUCGACGUCGGCAGUUUCUCCAAAGCAAAACAAGUAGCCACAGAAGUGGUUUGGACAGUGAUUUUUCAGGCACGCGUUCUUUGCCGGAGACUCCGAGAAUAUCAUCAGCUAGAAGAUCAGAUGUGGAACACCGCUUGUCGCUUCAGAUCAACAAAGAGAGCCUGAGCUCUAAUGAAGAGCUGGUUCUCUCUCGUAUCUCAUCGUUGAAACGCAAAGAGCUCAAAACUGAAGAAGAAAAUAGAAGUCCAGGCCAUUAUGCCAGGGAGAUUGUGAAGCAGGUCAAAGAACGCGUUAGCAGGAAAGUUGGAUUGGACAUUACAAACACGGUAAAAAACAGAGAUCAAGCAAGCAGAGAUGAGCUUAUUAGCCAAUUGAAGUCGAAGAAGGUGAGCAAGGUUCUAACUAAAGUCGCUAAUGAUUCAAGUCCAGGCAAGCAAACAGCUUCUUGCUCACCUAGACUCAAAUUCUUGGAACCCAGGACAAUUUCCAGUGUACCAUCCACCAAGGACCACUGUAUUUCUCAAUCUCUAAAAUCAUCAAUUUCAGCACAUUCACCGGUCAAUAUCAUGCCACAAAAGACCAAAGCUCCAACAAAGCCUAAGUUGCAGCUGGUGCAAGAGCAAGAGUACCACCAGCAGCAGCAACAGAGACCUGUCAAGAAGUGCAAAAAAGUGGCUGAAGAGAGGUUUGGUCCACCACCUAGACUCAAGAAACCUCCGCAAACUUCGGAUAUUAUCCGAAACAAGCAGGAAGAACCAUUUGUGAGUCCAGCAAUAGCAACCAGAGCAAACAUUCCUGACAAGAAAUGCAAGAAAACCCCAUUAUCAAAUGACCUACUUAACAUUACGGUCCCUACCCUCCUUCCAGUCAAGAAAGAUCCUACUCCUCCAGCCACAAAGAUUCCUCAAAAACCGGCACCAAAUGCUCAAGAAUCGAAACGUAUCUCCCCCUUGUCUAGUUGUUCGAGCCAUUCGUACAAACAACAAGAAGCGCCCAAUGCCCGAGGAAGCAACGAAAAGUGCAACAACGGGGACAGGUCUAACGGCGCAGCUGCCACCACCAAAGAUAGAGCAGCAGCAGAAUACGAGUACAUCACUAGAAUACUAAGACGUACUGGCAUAGAUAAGGAUACCCCAGUGUCGUUUACCAGGUGGUUCUCUCCAUCCCAUCCUUUAGAACCUUCAAUUUUUUACUAUCUUGAUCUUGAUUACUUCACCGCUACUUCCCCUGCCUCCACCAGCAGUGAAAGGUACGCAUAUGGUCAACUCAGCCAUAGGUGUAAUAGAAAGUUACUGUUUGACCUUGUGGAUGAAAUAUUGGCGGAGAUUUUAAAGCCUUACAAGAACUUGAAGCCUUGGGCUACCUCAUCAUCAGGCAGUAGAGGUGGUAGAGAAGACGCGCAGGGCUCACAUUUAAUUGAUAUGUUAUAUUCUAAAGUUAGAAGCUUCCCCUGCGCUGACUGUCGCGUUCUUGAAGACAUUGAUGCAUUAGUAGACAAAGACAUGCCACUGUUGAAGCUGCAGACCGAGGUGGCCUUUGGUGGCGAAGGAGAAGGGAUUGUCACGGAGAUAGAGAAGUAUAUAUUGGACUCGAUAAUACAUGAAACGGCUGCGUUUUUUUGUGAUGAUGAGCUGAGGGAGUAGUAGUAUUAAAACGCCAUGGCGUUUUCUAGACGGAGACAGUUUAAAAGACACGGGAAACUCGCGUGAAGAGAUGCUAUUCGUUGGACUAGCUAAUAAUAUCUCCUUUGUAAAGAGGGUUUGAGUCCCACUUCUGAAUAUUAUACAGUAAU
Molecule: unclassified non-coding RNA, 2851 nt
Filed under: Hevea brasiliensis (rubber tree)
Lineage: Eukaryota; Viridiplantae; Streptophyta; Magnoliopsida; Malpighiales; Euphorbiaceae
Source: RNAcentral